Molecule: ribosomal RNA, 459 nt
Filed under: uncultured bacterium
Lineage: Bacteria
Description: partial 16S ribosomal RNA
Rfam family: Bacterial small subunit ribosomal RNA
Source: RNAcentral
CCUACGGGAGGCAGCAGUGAGGAAUAUUGGUCAAUGGCCGCAAGGCUGAACCAGCCAAGUCGCGUGAGGGAUGACGGCCCUAUGGAUUGUAAACCUCUUUUGUCAGGGAGUAAACUUCGCCACGUGUGUCGUUUUGCGAGUACCUGAAGAAACAGCAUCGGCUAACUCCGUGCCAGCAGCCGCGGUAAUACGGAGGAUCCGAGCGUUAUCCGGAUUUAUUGGGUUUAAGGGGUGCGCGGGGGGACUGUAAAGUUAGCGGUAAAAUUUCGGGGCUAAACCCCGUAGUGCCGUUUAAACUGGUGGUCUUGAGUGAACGAGAGGUAUGCGGAAGGCGUGGUGUAGCGGUGAAAUGCUUAGAGAUCACGCAGAACUCCGAUUGCGAAGGCAGCAUACCGGCGCUCAACUGACGCUGAGGCACGAAAGCGUGGGUAUCGAACAGGAUUAGAUACCCUUGUAGUC